GACGAACGCUGGCGGCGUGCCUAAUACAUGCAAGUUGAGCGCUGAAGGUUGGUACUUGUACCAACUGGAUGAGCAGCGAACGGGUGAGUAACGCGUGGGGAAUCUGCCUUUGAGCGGGGGACAACAUUUGGAAACGAAUGCUAAUACCGCAUAAAAACUUUAAACACAAGUUUUAAGUUUGGAAGAUGCAAUUGCAUCACUCAAAGAUGAUCCCGCGUUGUAUUAGCUAGUUGGUGAGGUAAAGGCUCACCAAGGCGAUGAUACAUAGCCGACCUGAGAGGGUGAUCGGCCACAUUGAGACUGAGACACGGCCCAAACUCCUACGGGAGGCAGCAGUAGGGAAUCUUCGGCAAUGGACGAAAGUCUGACCGAGCAACGCCGCGUGAGUGAAGAAGGUUUUCGGAUCGUAAAACUCUGUUGGUAGAGAAGAACGUUGGUGAGAGUGGAAAGCUCAUCAAGUGACGGUAACUACCCAGAAAGGGACGGCUAACUACGUG
Molecule: ribosomal RNA, 497 nt
Filed under: uncultured bacterium
Lineage: Bacteria
Description: partial 16S ribosomal RNA
Rfam family: Bacterial small subunit ribosomal RNA
Source: RNAcentral